ACUACCCGCUGAACUUAAGCAUAUCAAUAAGCGGAGGAAAAGAAACUAACAAGGAUUCCCCUAGUAGCGGCGAGCGAAGCGGGAAGAGCUCAAAUUUAUAAUCUGGCACCUUCGGUGUCCGAGUUGUAAUCUCUAGAAGUGUUUUCCGCGUUGGACCGCACACAAGUCUGUUGGAAUACAGCGGCAUAGUGGUGAAACCCCCGUAUAUGGUGCGGACGCCCAGCGCUUUGUGAUACACUUUCAAUGAGUCGAGUUGUUUGGGAAUGCAGCUCAAAUUGGGUGGUAAAUUCCAUCUAAAGCUAAAUAUUGGCGAGAGACCGAUAGCGAACAAGUACCGUGAGGGAAAGAUGAAAAGCACUUUGGAAAGAGAGUUAACAGUACGUGAAAUUGUUGGAAGGGAAACGCUUGAAGUCAGACUUGCUUGCCGGAGCUUGCUUCGGUUUGCAGGCCAGCAUCAGUUUUCCGGGGUGGAUAAUGACGGUUUGAAGGUAGCAGUCUCGGCUGUGUUAUAGCUUUCCGUUGGAUACAUCCUGGGGGACUGAGGAACGCAGCGUGCUUUUUGCGAAAGACUCGUC
This 575-nucleotide ribosomal RNA is filed under the name Rhodotorula sp. RNAcentral's name for it is "partial large subunit ribosomal RNA". It matches the Rfam family "Eukaryotic large subunit ribosomal RNA", at positions 20 to 599 of the family's 3401-position model. The record is from RNAcentral. Lineage: Eukaryota; Fungi; Basidiomycota; Microbotryomycetes; Sporidiobolales; Sporidiobolaceae.